This 253-nucleotide ribosomal RNA is filed under the name uncultured bacterium. Its description in RNAcentral is "partial 16S ribosomal RNA". It matches the Rfam family "Bacterial small subunit ribosomal RNA", at positions 524 to 776 of the family's 1533-position model. The record is from RNAcentral.
UACAGAGGUCUCAACCGUUGUCCGGAUUCAUUGGGCGUAAAGGGUGCGUAGGCGGCGCGGUAAGUCGGAUGUGAAAUCUCGGAGCUUAACUUCGAAACUGCAUUCGAUACUGCCGUGCUUGAGGACUGGAGAGGAGACUGGAAUUUACGGUGUAGCGGUGAAAUGCGUAGAUAUCGUAAGGAAGACCAGUGGCGAAGGCGGGUCUCUGGACAGUUCCUGACGCUGAGGCACGAAGGUCAGGGGAGCAAACGGG